CCUACGGGGGGCAGCAGUGAGGAAUAUUGGUCAAUGGCCGGAAGGCUGAACCAGCCAUGCCGCGUGAAGGUCAGUGCCCUAUGGGCGUUAAACUUCUUUUGUGCGGGAGCAAUAAUGGUCACGUGUGGCCAGACGAGAGUACCGUACGAAUAAGCAUCGGCUAACUACGUGCCAGCAGCCGCGGUAAUACGGGGGAUGCAAGCGUUAUCCGGAUUUAUUGGGUUUAAAGGGUGCGUAGGCUGUGAGGUAAGUCAGCGGUGAAAUGCCCCCGCUCAACGGGGUGAAGUGCCAUUGAUACUGGCUGGCUGGAAUGCGGAUGCCGUGGGAGGAAUGUGUGGUGUAGCGGUGAAAUGCAUAGAUAUCACACAGAACACCGAGUGCGAAGGCAUCUCACGAAUCCGCGAUUGACGCUGAUGCACGAAAGCGUGGGUAUCAAACAGGAUUAGAUACCCGUGUAGUC
This 460-nucleotide ribosomal RNA is filed under the name uncultured bacterium. RNAcentral describes it as "partial 16S ribosomal RNA". It matches the Rfam family "Bacterial small subunit ribosomal RNA", at positions 338 to 795 of the family's 1533-position model. The record is from RNAcentral.